This 405-nucleotide ribosomal RNA is filed under the name uncultured bacterium. Its description in RNAcentral is "bacterial SSU rRNA". It matches the Rfam family "Bacterial small subunit ribosomal RNA", at positions 8 to 414 of the family's 1533-position model. The record is from RNAcentral.
AGAGUUUGAUCCUGGCUCAGAAUGAACGCUGGCGGCGUGCCUAACACAUGCAAGUCGGAUGUGCCGCAAGGUGCAUGGCAGACGGGUGAGUAACGCGUGGGGAAUCUACCUCUUUGUGGGGAAUAACGCUCCGAAAGGAGUGGUAAUACCGCAUGAGACCAAUGGCUGGAAUGUUGUUGGUGAAACCUGGGGACCGCAAGGCCUGGGGCAAGGAGAGGAUCCUGCGUCUGAUUAGCUAGUUGGCGGGGUAACGGCCCACCAAGGCGACGAUCAGUAGCCGGCCUGAGAGGGUGAUCGGCCACACUGGAACUGAGACACGGUCCAGACUCCUACGGGAGGCAGCAGUGGGGAAUUUUGCGCAAUGGGCGAAAGCCUGACGCAGCAACGCCGCGUGGGUGAUGAAGG